Molecule: non-coding RNA, 46 nt
Organism: Schistosoma margrebowiei
Lineage: Eukaryota; Metazoa; Platyhelminthes; Trematoda; Strigeidida; Schistosomatidae
Source: Rfam
GCACUGCUGAGGAGUCCCACAAUAGGACGAAACCGCCUUCCAAUGC